GGAAUUUUGGACAAUGGGGGCAACCCUGAUCCAGCAAUGCCGCGUGAGUGAUGAAGGCCCUCGGGUCGUAAAGCUCUUUUACCCGGGAUGAUAAUGACAGUACCGGGAGAAUAAGCUCCGGCUAACUCCGUGCCAGCAGCCGCGGUAAUACGGAGGGAGCUAGCGUUGUUCGGAAUUACUGGGCGUAAAGCGUACGUAGGCGGCGUUUCAAGUCAGAGGUGAAAGCCCGGGGCUCAACCCCGGAACUGCCUUUGAAACUAGAACGCUAGAAUCUUGGAGAGGUCAGUGGAAUUCCGAGUGUAGAGGUGAAAUUCGUAGAUAUUCGGAAGAACACCAGUGGCGAAGGCGACUGACUGGACAAGCAUUGACGCUGAGGUACGAAAGCGUGGGGAGCAAAC
RNAcentral lists this ribosomal RNA (398 nucleotides) under uncultured bacterium. Its description in RNAcentral is "bacterial SSU rRNA". It matches the Rfam family "Bacterial small subunit ribosomal RNA", at positions 358 to 773 of the family's 1533-position model. The record is from RNAcentral.